CAUCUCCAAUGCGACCCCCCUCCAAAAUGAGAUCACCCCUCUCUGAGUAAUAAUAAUGGUAUGCAUGACUAGAGUCACUCAAGCUCCACCUUGAAGAUAAAAAAUAAUAUAAAAUGACCCAAGAGAGAGGGGGAUAUUGGGGAAGAUACCAUCGUGGAUGAGUCAAGGAAGAUAACAUCAACUGACUCCUGGGACCGGUCGAUGGGCUGUACCUCUCUUCCCCCCCCAUAGGGACGCCUGUGGGUAUACUCUACCGGCAGGCUUAUGCUGAUUGUGUGACAACCAGUUUGGGACCAGGACCCAUGGAGCAGCCGUUAGUACUUCUGAAUACCUCAGACACUGACUCUCCACUUGGGGUCUCCUGAGCUUAAGCUUAAGCAGGCGGGAGAAGGUGGUAAAGGAAAAGAACCAUCUGCACAGCUGAAGAACCAGGAGGAAGUUCUGAGUAAACCCAGGUUUCCAUUUAAGAUUCACCAACUUACACCCUUAACAGAACAAAAUAAAGGCCUGAGAGAGACAUCAUCACAAUUUUUAAAAAAAAUGCAGGGCUCAAAGGCCAUUUGCAGAGGGAACGUCAGAGAACAGAAGCUCAGCUAUAUAAUAAUUAUUUCAUUGUAGAAAGGAAGCUGUUUUAACAGCAGCAUUUUUGGAAGAAAAAGAUAUGUU
RNAcentral lists this long non-coding RNA (666 nucleotides) under Amazona collaria (yellow-billed parrot). Its description in RNAcentral is "lncRNA (ENSACOG00000013226.1)". The record is from RNAcentral. Lineage: Eukaryota; Metazoa; Chordata; Aves; Psittaciformes; Psittacidae.